RNAcentral lists this long non-coding RNA (7342 nucleotides) under Homo sapiens (human). RNAcentral describes it as "HSALNT0076463". Lineage: Eukaryota; Metazoa; Chordata; Mammalia; Primates; Hominidae. The record is from RNAcentral.
GUUCAUUAAAAAUUACUGACAUGAAGCAGAUUAAUAGGAGAAAAGUAUACAAAACUAUUUAAUGUGUAUACAUAGGAAAAUCACUGAGUGAUUUCCUAUCCCACAGCAUGGUUCAGGAAAAGAGAAAUUCUGUUGAGUGGAUUACUAGGAAGGAUAAAUAGAUCAGGAAACAGAAAUUAACUUGUACAUUAUCUUGUGAAAGAUUCUGUUCAGGUGUGGUUACACUUUUGGUAUUAUAAGGAGAGGAACAAAAACUUUUUUUUCUUUUGUUGGGUCUGAUCUUAGGUAGAUAAAGGCUUUGGGAGAAUCAGAGGGAAGGGGAAGGCCAGAGACAGCUUGAAGCUUCUUCAGUUCAGCAUGUCAAAAUGCCACAUUUUGGGCUAUCAACUUCUGUAUUAGUCUAUUGUGCACUGCUAUAAAGGAAUACCUGAGACUGAGUAAUUUAUAAAGAAAAAAGGUAUAUUUGGCUCAUGGCUCUGCAGGCUAUACAAGCAUUGCACCAGUAUCUGCUUGGUUUCUAUUGAGGCCUGAGAAAGCUUUUACUUUUGGCAGAAGGCAAAGGCAGAGCAGGUGUGCUCGCAGGCAUGUCACGUGGUGAGGGAGGGAAAAAGAGAGUGGGGGAGGUGCCAGCCUCCUGCUCUUGAGUGAACUAACAGAGCAAUAACUCACUCAUUAUCCUGGGUAGGGCAUAAAGCCAUUCACGAGGGAUCUGCCCCUAUGACCCAAACACCUCUUACCAAGUCCCACCUCUAAUAUAUUGGAAAUCACAUUUCAACAUGAGAUUUGAAGGGGACAAAUAUCCAUACUAUAUUAGUUUCUGUGCCCCAAUAAGAUCCAUGAGUCUUGCAGUAACUACUGAAUUACUGUACUCAUUUCUAUCUCCAACGGAUGAGGAAAGUUGGAAUAGAGUCUCCUCCUACAAGUGCAAAUGUUCCUGAGAAGAGUAAAGGUAAUAUAUGUAAAGCUGCUCUGAUGAGCAAUCAGUCAACAACAAUCAGCCAGGAGAAGGGACUGCUUCUAGGAUGAUGCCUUACCACCACUACCUUUCAGUAUAAGGUCCAGCCUAGAGUAGAGGGGGAAACAGAUAUGGAGAAAAUGACCUAAGUCCAACGCAAUUAUGCCGUUCCAGGUAUCUCUCCACCCUCUGACCCCUGGGUCACUAACCAACAGCCGAGAGAAGAUGAUCCCUUGUGGAGGGUGGCUAACCUCACAGCAUGUAUAGGAUUAGAUUACAGAUGAAGAGAAGGUUUUUUCUCAAACUGGACAACUUGCUUUGAUUGAUAGUGAGGCCCUGAAGAUUUAGGAUCGAAUCUGACACUUCAUAUGAACUCAGAGGACAUGGUCCCAGGAUCAUAGGAAAAAGGAAGGUUUUUCAUGCUUUGUCUGAAUAUUGCCAGGGCUUAUGUUCAGCCAAUAUUCAACAGUGGAUACAAUAUAGCACUAUAUUUAACUAUGUCAAGUAUUCAAGUUGAUAAAAAGUGGUUCCUUAACCCCCUUAGUGCCUCACUACUUCCUUGAUCACCCGGCUUCUAACUAGGGCCCUGAACUAUCUCUAAUCCAGCAACUAUAGGACUAACAUAUGGCACUGUGGUUAUACUGGUUGUUAUAAAUUUUAAAGACUAUAUUGAAUGAAGGUAAGGUGAUAUGCUAAAUGAUUUUUCAAGGUAUGUUUGAAUCCUACAUUCAUGUGAUAACUAGAACAAAUAGAGUAUACAUACUUGGUUAAAAGAACAUAUUGACUUAUGUUUCUAGGUAUAAUUUAUUUGGGAUCAAGUAAAGAAGUAGCUAAAUUACAUUUACUUCUCAAAAAAAGCCUAUUGAUUACUAGCAUGGCAAAGCUCCUGACACAAUUACUUUAUAAAUUGCUUAGCAAUGACCUCGCAACAGUAGCAGGAGUUGGCAGAUGCAUGCCAUUGCAUUUUCUCAGGCCAAAUAGUAUAACUUCUUGGCAUACUUUGAGAAAAUUCUAAAAAUGGCAUUUUCCAUGUACAAAGCAAUGAAAAUGGAAUGCCUUUUCUGUUAUCACCAUAUAUGGAAUGUGGUAGAGAAAGAAGCAGACAUUUAAAAUUCACACAAGAGAAUUUCAAAGACUUUUCCAUCAGCAGUCAUGCUGGGAGAAUGUGUGACUAUACUUCAGUCAUGACCAUACAAAAAUAAUUAAAUAAGGGAUUUGCACCAUAUCCAGGUACAGCUGCUGUUCUCAUCUAUGCUUUUAUCUAUGAGGCCACGGUUGACUUAUUGAACUAGCAAAACCUAACAUUUUCUGUAGAAAGUGGACAGACUGCCAGAAAUUUACUCUCUGUCUCCCAAACCUAUGCAAAAUUUAUCCAUUCCAUAUGUAUACCCGGUCUUUAUCCAGAUUUUCUAUUUUACCUGAAAUAUUUUAUCAGUCUGUACAAUGAACUGGUAGAAUAUGUCUGGAACUUAUCGUGUAGACUUUGCUCAGUUCUGAGAAACAUUUAUCAAAACAUCAAGUGAGAAUGACCCAGAAUUUUAUUACUCGAUCAUACUCUGCCAUUAAUGAUACAUAAAUUGCAUUGUUGUUGAAUUAAGAUUUGGAAUUUUCUUUACUACUGCGUAUUAAUGUAUUUUUGGGCUAGGCAAUAUGUUAAAUUUUAAAUAGGAAUUAAAAAUGUAUGUUUACAUAUUCAUAUGUAUAAUUUUGCAUUUUAAUUCUAGCACCUAUUAUAAUUUGACUUGCAUUAUAGUUAGUUGUACAAAUGUAUGUUUUCCUUAUGAGACUGAGCUCCUUAUGGAUAAAGGGCAUAGUUUAUGCACUUUUGUUUACCAACAAUACAGGAUUUUUCUUGGAAGAAAAUAGUAAUCACUUAAGAAAUAUUUUUUUCAAUUGAGUUGAGCUGAACUGAAGGGCUUUUUCAAAGCUUUAUGGUACAAAUUCUUUUGGGACAACCUUCUACUUUGCUGGCUCUCUGCAUUGCUUAGGCAGAGCAAUGUGGUUGAGUAUAACAUUUUUGAAAUGAUUUUUUUACUGAAUUCUAGGCAAAGCAAAAUGUAUUUUUAGAGAUAUUGUUGUUGCUUUUCAUCUUUUGUUACCAUGAUAUUAUUCAUAAUCUCAAAUAGAAAAAUAUGUUUAUAGCUAAAUAAAUGCCACUUUUUCUUCCGGCCCUCUAGAAAAUGUCUAAACACAGAAUGAUAUUCAAGGACAUGAGUUGAGCCUAGUGUUUGUUGCUAAUUAUUGUUUGACAUUAGGCUAACUUCCGGAGACUUAAAUUGCACUGAAUUUUUAAAAUGGUAAAACUGGUCUAGAUAAUGUCUAAUAUCUCUUGAAGCCCAAAGAUCUUUUAUUUUCUCACAUGUUAUUUUGUUUAAGAUAUAGUCCAGUAAAACAUAGGGAAAAUAAGUUAGACAAGCCCUUCAAUACCAUCCCAAUUCCAUCCCCCAUUCAGUUCCCCCCAACUCCAUCCCCAAAGAAAUCUAUAUUUAAGCCUCAUUAUUUGCCUUUAUACUUUUCCACACAGUAGGUGUAGGCAGGUAUUGAGACCCCUCUUCCUCAGGGAGACAAAUGAAAGCACAGAGGGAGCAAGAAAUUUGAACAUGUAUAUCUAUCAUUUAAUGAAUGGGGAAAUAGGAAUAGGUCAGAUCUCUUUAGUUCAUGUCCUUUAUUUGACAAGUGACAAGUGACUUUUCACAAAUAUGGCCUUAUUUCCUUCUUAUUGCUGUACCUGAAAAAGUCUCUCCAAUGUCAUCUGACACAAUUUCACCCAUCUUUCACAAUACUUUCCUUUCUAUAUUCCCUUAUCCCCUUUAGGCUUCUUUUUAUGUUGUUUCUUAAAAAAAUUUUAUUACUUUCUUUUUAUGAUACAAAUUAGCACAGGAGAAAUACAAGAAGAAACACUAGUUAUUUUCUCUUUUUAGUAGUAAUCAGGACAAUAAAAGCUAAAGUAAGUACACAUUUGAUGCCAUAUUUAACAACAUGCUGUAAUGUUUACAUUUUAAUGGACCUUAAACUCUGCAGAUAUAUAUAAAUCCUUUCUUUUCCCUCUAUCGAUCGUAAAAUACUACUUGGAAUGAUUUAAUCAGGGCCGAGUUGAGAAUUUUUAAAGUAAUUGAAUACUAAUUACUAAUCUGCUCUCAAACAUAACUUUUGAAGUAAGAAUUUGCUGAGUGCUUAAAUCAGUUGCACUCAACUUUUAGCAGUGGCCACUUCUAAAGGAAAAAGAACCAUAUUAUUGAAAUAACAGAAACUUGUAAAAGGAAAGGAAAGAAACAGAAUUCAGAAGAUUAAGAAACAAUCGACUUAACACUAAUACACCUUUGUUCUUUUGAAUCCUUAGGAAUUGUUUCCUUUUGGAUCUCUAUAAUUUAAGAGAGUUCUCAAAUUUAAAACUAAUCAGAAUUACCUGAUGGGUUUAAGUACGUACUGCUGGGUCCCAUUCCCAGAGUUUCUGAUUCAACAGGUCUAGACUGAGGACUGAAAAUUUGAAUUUCUAAUAGGUUCCUCGGUGUUGCUGAUGUGGCUGGUCAGGAGACCACACUCUUGAGAACUCAUUGAUGUGGGUUAUAUAAUGACCUCUAUCUUAAGGGAAAAUACUUAUAAAACCAGUUUCUGUUCUGCCUACAAACUAUGUUAUUCAUCAACAGUAUUUAAUUGUUCUUAAUGCAAGAAUGAAAGUUUUCUUUAAAUUGUGGUUUGAUAAAGUAAAAAAUGCAGACUGGCUGAAAAAAUGUGUAUAAAAUAGAGGGAAUUUGAAAUCAUUAUACCAUUAAAAUAAGUAUCUAAAAAAUCAAUAUAAAAAAAUCAGUAGCAUUUGUGUACACCAAAACGUUCACGCAGAGAGCCAAAUCAGGAAUGCAAUAUCAUUUGCAAUAGCCACAAAAAGAGUAAAAUAUCUAGAAAGCUAAUGAAGGAGGUGAAAGAGCUCUACAAAGAGAACUACAAAACACUGCUGAAAGAAAUGAGAGAUGACAAAAAUAAGUGGAAAAACACUUUAUGCUCACAGAUUGGAAAAAUCAAGAUAGUUAAAAUGGCAAUAUUGUCCAAAACCAUUUAUAGAUUCAGUGGUAUUCCUAUCAAACUACCAACAUAAUUUUUCACAGAACUAGAAAAAAGUGUCUUAAAUUUAUAGGGAACCAAAAAAGAGCCCAAAUCACCAAAGCAAUCCUAAGCAAAAACAACAAAGCCAGAAGCAUCACAUCACCCAACUUCAAACUAUACUAUAAGACUACAGUAACCAAAACAGCAUGGUAUCAGUACAAAAACAGACACAUAGACUAAUGAAACAGAAUAAAGAACCCAGAAAUAAAGCCACACACCUACAACCAUCUGAUCUUAGACAAGGCCAAUAAAAACGAACAAUGGGGAAAAGACUUCCUAUUUAAUAAAUGGUGCUGGAAUAACUGCCUAUCCAUACGCAGAAGAAUGAAACUGGACCCCAAUCUAUCACCAUAUGCAAAUAUUAACUCAAUAUGCAUUAAAGACUUAAAUAUAAGACUACAAAGUAUAAAAAUUCCAGGUGAAAAGCUAGGAAAUAUCCUUCUCAAUAUCAGCCUUGACAAAUAAUUUAUGGCUAAGUCCUCAAAAAAAAUUGCAACAGAAACAUUGACAAGUGGGAUCUAAUUAAACUAAAGAGCUUCUGUGCAGCAAAAAACAAACUAUCAACAGAGCAAACAGACAAUCUAUCGAAUUCGAGAAAAUAUUAGCAAACUAUACAUCUGACAAAGUUGUAUUAUCCAGAAUAUAUAAGACAUUUAAACAAAUCCAUAAGCCAGAAUAAAAUAACCCCAUUAAAAAGUGGACAAGGACAUGAAGGACAGGAGAUGUGUCUACAUCUCAAAAGAAAUUAUGCAAGUGGCCAAGAAACGUAGGAAGAAAUACUCAUCAUCACUAUUCAUCAGAGAAAUGCAAAUCAAAACCACAAUGAAAUACCAUCUCACACCAGUCAGAAUGGCUUUUGUUAAAAAAUCAAAAAAUAACAGAUGUCGGAAAGGCUGUGGAGAAAAGGGAGCAUUUAGACACUGUUGGUAGAAAUGCAAAUCAGUUCAGCCACUGUAGAGAGCAGUUUGGAGGUUUCUAGAUGAACUAAGAGUUGAAUUAUCAUUUGACCCAGCAAUCCUAUUACUGGAUAUACCCAAAGGAAAAUAAACUGUUCUACCAAAAAGACACAUGCAAAAAUAUGUUCAUCACAGUGCUAUUUACAAUAGCAAAGACAUGGAAUCAACUCAGGUGCCCAUUAAUGGUGGACUGGAUAAAGAACAUGUGGUACAUACACACCAUGAAAUACUAUGCAGCCAUAAAACAAUGAAAUUAUGUUAUUUGCAGCAACAUGGCUGCAGCUAGAUGCCAUUAUCCUAAGUGAACUAAUGCAGAAACAGAAAACCAAAUACCACACAUCCUCACUUAUAAGUGGGAGCUAAACAUUGGGUACCCGUGGACAUAAAGAUGGGAACAAUAGACAUUGGGGAAUACAAGAGAGAGGAGGCAAAGAAGGAGGAAAGGAUUGAAAAACUACCUAUUGGGCACUAUGCUCACUAUCUGGCUGAUUCAUGUUUAUUCCAAACCUCAACUUCAAGCAAUAUAUCUUUGUAACAAAUCUGCACAUGUACCUCCUGAUUCUUAUUUCAGGAAAAGAAUAAGAUAAAGUUGAAAAAAUAUAUGAAAUAAGUAUCUUAGAUAUAUUAGCAUAGUAUCUAGAGAAAAAUUUUAAUGCUCCUUUCACAAACCUGAAAUCAUCCAGACUCCAUUGAAGACCAGUAGAGCAUCAUAAAAAUUAUUACAUAGGCACACAGACAUACACAUUGUAAUACUUACCAUGCUAUAACAUAGCCAUAUAUACUCUGGAAAGUGUCUCAAGAGUAUGUAAUAUGAAAAUCAUAGUGCUAUAGCAGUGACAUCAUGCAGGUUGCUGAAAUAUUAGAACAUAUAUUCAUUUAAUUCAGUGUAAUUGGAAUGAUUUGUUAUACUAAUAAAAACAAAAUAUUUACUCAUAUAAUUAUCUUAUGACUUCAUUUACAUCAUCAGAAAUCCUCGAACUAUUUAUUUGAAAUUUUUAAUAUCUGGGGCUUUUAUUUUACAGAGUAGAUAUGCUUGGUGUAGUCAAAGCUAAUUAACAAUUAAAGCUCACAUACUAUUUGAUAUCAUGCCUUCCAAAUUAGGACUUUAGAACAUGCUGUUAUUCAAAAUGGCCAAGUGUAUUCAAGCUUAUUAAAUUUUUAUUCUCAGGAGUCCAAAAAGUGACAUAAUUAUACAGUCAUUUCAAAGCUAACAGGAAAAGAGGACUAGAGACAAAAUAGUUCUUGUUUAGAUGAGAGGAAUACUGCUGUGUUAAAUUCUCUCUCUCUCUCUCUCUCUCUUUCUCUCUCCCUCUGUUUCUUUGUCCCUUUC